Molecule: transfer RNA, 73 nt
Filed under: Rattus norvegicus (Norway rat)
Lineage: Eukaryota; Metazoa; Chordata; Mammalia; Rodentia; Muridae
Rfam family: tRNA
About the family: Transfer RNA (tRNA) molecules are approximately 80 nucleotides in length. Their secondary structure includes four short double-helical elements and three loops (D, anti-codon, and T loops).
Source: Rfam by way of RNAcentral
GGAGAUGUAGCUUAGCUGGUAAGGCGCUUGCCUAGCAUGCAUACAGCACUGGGUUGGAGUCCCAGCAUCACAU